UUACUUACCUGGCAAGGGAGAAGCCAUGAUCACGAAGGUGGUUUUCCCAGGGUGAGGCUUAUUCAUUGCACUCCAGAUGUGCUGACCCCUGCGAUUUCCUCAAAUGUGGAAAUGUGGGAAACUCAGUUGCAUAAUUUGUGGUAGUAGGGGACUGU
Molecule: small nuclear RNA, 155 nt
Organism: Camelus dromedarius (Arabian camel)
Lineage: Eukaryota; Metazoa; Chordata; Mammalia; Artiodactyla; Camelidae
Gene: U1
Rfam family: U1 spliceosomal RNA
About the family: U1 is a small nuclear RNA (snRNA) component of the spliceosome (involved in pre-mRNA splicing). Its 5' end forms complementary base pairs with the 5' splice junction, thus defining the 5' donor site of an intron.
Source: Ensembl